GACGAACGCUGGCGGCGUGCUUAACACAUGCCAGUCGAACGGAAAGGCCCCUUUGGGGGUACUCGAGUGGCGAACGGGUGAGUAACACGUGAGUAACCUGCCCUUGACUUCGGGAUAACUUCAGGAAACUGGGGCUAAUACCGGAUAGGAAUCCUUGCUGCAUGGUGGGGGUUGGAAAGCUUCGGCGGUUUUGGAUGGACUCGCGGCUUAUCAGCUUGUUGGUGGGGUAGUGGCUUACCAAGGCUUUGACGGGUAGCCGGCCUGAGAGGGCGACCGGCCACGUUGGGACUGAGAUACGGCCCAGACUCCUACGGGAGGCAGCAGUGGGGAAUAUUGCACAAUGGGCGGAAGCCUGAUGCAGCAACGCCGCGGGCGGGAUGACGGCCUUCGGGUUGGAAACCGCUUUCAGCAGGGGCGAAGCUUGUGGUGACGGUACCUGCAGAAGAAGCACCGGCUAACUACGUG
This 465-nucleotide ribosomal RNA is filed under the name uncultured bacterium. RNAcentral's name for it is "partial 16S ribosomal RNA". It matches the Rfam family "Bacterial small subunit ribosomal RNA", at positions 28 to 507 of the family's 1533-position model. The record is from RNAcentral.